This 253-nucleotide ribosomal RNA is filed under the name uncultured bacterium. RNAcentral's name for it is "partial 16S ribosomal RNA". It matches the Rfam family "Bacterial small subunit ribosomal RNA", at positions 524 to 776 of the family's 1533-position model. The record is from RNAcentral.
CACGUAGGGCGCAAGCGUUGUCCGGAAUUAUUGGGCGUAAAGAGCUCGUAGGCGGUCUGUUGCGUCGGCUGUGAAAACCCGGGGCUCAACCCCGGGCCUGCAGCCGAUACGAGCAGACUAGAGUUCGGCAGGGGAGACUGGAAUUCCUGGUGUAGCGGUGAAAUGCGCAGAUAUCAGGAGGAACACCGGUGGCGAAGGCGGGUCUCUGGGCCGAAACUGACGCUGAGGAGCGAAAGCGUGGGGAGCGAACAGG